Molecule: long non-coding RNA, 1207 nt
Organism: Equus quagga
Lineage: Eukaryota; Metazoa; Chordata; Mammalia; Perissodactyla; Equidae
Exons: 3
Source: RefSeq, a predicted model, not a curated record
GGCAGGUCUGUUGUCUCGAGCUGGGUGGUCAGAGGGUGGGUGCAGCAAUCAGUUCCUAGUCUAGGGAGAGAUGCUUAGCCUUAAGGAAAUGCCAGUGUAGGGGAAGCUGCAUCUUUACCUUAAGGGCAUUUGUUCUUGUCUGUGGACACAGGAAAUGCUUAAAGCAGAUGUACAAUGCAUGUGCAACGGCCACUCUGGAAAAAGCAAGGUCAGGCCAAAUUAGAUUUAUACCAAACAGCUUCCUCAUAUACUGCAAUAUCCUAUGGCUUGCCAUUUGUUUAUCAGUCUUAAUGUGUUUAUCUUACUAGAUUAUAGUAACUGUAAGAACUGGAGCCCUCACCAGUACAUUUUUGAACGGUGUAACCUGGAUUUCUCAGAGCCUGUUUAAAGUCUGUGCACACAGACGGAGGGCUUUGUAGUGUCUGCUCGAUGUUUUGUUCACCUUGAUUGCUUUUUCUGAAGGCCUGGAUUUCAGGGUCUUUGGGUACCUCCUAAUUGGAUGGUUUUCAGGUAUAGCAAAAGGCCAAGGGACCUAGCCCAUCUAUUAAACUUCCAGAAAGGCAAUAACAACUGUUUGUCUUUAUCAACUUUAAAAUAGCCAGUUAUUUUACUGACAAAUGAGUUUAUUUGGAAAUAACAAAGCAAUUGUAAUUCAGGAUGUGCAAACUAUGGUGAAACACAGGCAAGUCCAGAGAACAAAGGAGGGGCGCUUGCUUUUAUAGAGAAAAAGGGGGAGUUGUGAGGGGCUGUUGUAAAUGAAAGCUCUUUGGGGAGGAGUAAGAGUUCAGGGUGGUUUUGGCUCCUCAGCAGGGUGGCUUUGGCAUCUUCCAUUGGCUGGGGUUGUUGCUGGGCAAGAAGAAAAUCUUCCUUUUUCCUCCUGGGGUAGUAUAGCAGCAACUUCCUGUUGAAGAUGCGAGUGGGCAGGGCAGACCCUGGGCUAACAGGCCAGAGGAAGAACUCCAAUGCCUUCUGUCAGCAUCUGUGUCAGCAGGCCUGCACUGGGUCAAAAUAAUGGUUGCUCCCAAUGUCUCAGUCCUGGAGAAGUCUUGCAUCUCACCAAGAUGCACCCAGAGCCUAUCUGGUGAGUCCUUUCACCAAAGGACCUUCCAGCUUUCUUUAUGGUGAUUUUAGAUUGCUUUCCAAAACAGGUCAACAGUUACAUAAAAUGGAAUGUUAUCCCGUCUUAAAAAAAGAAAAUUCUGGGGCU